Molecule: ribosomal RNA, 301 nt
Filed under: uncultured bacterium
Lineage: Bacteria
Description: partial 16S ribosomal RNA
Rfam family: Bacterial small subunit ribosomal RNA
Source: RNAcentral
CAGUAGCCGCGGGAAUACGAAGGGGGCUAGCGUUGUUCGGAAUUACUGGGCGUAAAGCGCACGCAGGCGGCUCGAUAAAUUAGGAGUGAAAGCCUUGGGCUUAACCUGAGAAUUGCUUUUAAGACUGUCGAGCUAGAAUCCAGAAGAGGGUAGUGGAAUUCCGAGUGUAGAGGUGAAAUUCGUAGAUAUUCGGAAGAACACCAGUGGCGAAGGCGACUACCUGGUCUGGCAUUGACGCUCAUGUGCGAAAGCGUGGGGGGCAAACAGGAUUAGAUACCCGCGUAGUCCCUGUCUCUUAUAA